UACGAGUGGUGCGAGCGUUAUUCGGAUUUAUUGGGCGUAAAGGGUGCGUAGGCGGCAUGCUAAGUCAACUGUUAAAAACCUCAGCCUAACUGUGGGCGUGCGGUCGAUACGGGCAUCACUGGAGUUCGGCAGGGGAGACUGGAAUUCCUGGUGUAGCGGUGAAAUGCGCAGAUAUCAGGAGGAACACCGGUGGCGAAGGCGGGUCUCUGGGCCGAUACUGACGCUGAGGAGCGAAAGCGUGGGGAGCAAACAGG
This 254-nucleotide ribosomal RNA is filed under the name uncultured bacterium. Its description in RNAcentral is "partial 16S ribosomal RNA". It matches the Rfam family "Bacterial small subunit ribosomal RNA", at positions 524 to 776 of the family's 1533-position model. The record is from RNAcentral.